GAGAGCGAUCUCUUAAUCGGUACCCUCUGAAGACUAGAGAGGAAAAGUUAGCUUUAUGGGUUAGGGAAGCAGGUGGGAAAUGGUCAAGUGCGACCACGGGACGGAAAGGUGGCUGCUGUGCUCAAUUACCCAACACCUACUACGAGGAGAGAACUACUGCACCGGUGCUGUCCGCCCCCGACCUGACUCGUCCGUUCCAGCUGGAGGUGGACGCCAGCGCGGUUGGAGUGGGAGCUGUCCUUCUGCAGGAGGGUGCUGACAACCUAGGCCACCCUGUAUCAUACUUCUCAGCUAAGUUCAACAGUCAUCAGUUGAAUUAUUCAACCAUUGAAAAAGAGACCUUAGCUCUGUUGCUAGCGUUACAACAGUUUAACGUCUACGUGGGGGCUAGUGCGUCUCCUGUCGUUGUUUAUACAGAUCAUAAUCCACUUGUUUUUCUGAGCAAAAUGUAUAACCAAAAUCAACGACUCAUGCGUUGGGCCUUAAUGGUUCAGCCGUACAAUCUUGAGAUCCGUCAUAAAAGAGGCUCUGACAACGUAGUUGCAGAUGCAUUGUCUCGCGGAUUAAUUUAGGAACAGGUUUUUCUGUAUGAAUCCAUGCAGAAUCAGUUUUUCUUUUUCCCUCUAAGGAAGGAGGAAAAGAGGAAGGAAAAAAAAUGAUUCUUCCUCUAGGGGGGGAAGUGUUACGGCCACAGCCUUCUGAGUUUGUUACUUUUGUAAUUAUUAAUUGGUUUGGCCUUUCUGAGUGCAGGCUCUGCCCCUGCGCACCUGAGAGCGGUUGCGGUGAUGGCUCAGGCUGAGCAUAUAGAGGGGAGAGCGACUGAGCGCCGGGAAAGGAGGAGACCUGCGAGAGCGCCAGGCCCGGCUGCAACACCAGGAGACCAGUGUUUUGUGUUCGAGCGACUAUUGUGUUAUGUUAAGGUGUAAAACGGAGAGGCUGGAGGUUGGAAAACUAUAAAAGAUCUUUGCAUCGCUUCCUGCCUAUC
Molecule: long non-coding RNA, 985 nt
Organism: Gasterosteus aculeatus aculeatus (three-spined stickleback)
Lineage: Eukaryota; Metazoa; Chordata; Actinopteri; Perciformes; Gasterosteidae
Source: Ensembl